UUAGCUAUAAUAGUUGAUGGAAGUGAUUAAAAAGCACAGUAUUGUUGUUCUUCAGCUAGCUAACUAUUCUAGCAAAAUGAAAAGUACUCGCUAUAUACAGCGAGUACUGCAACAUUUCUCAAUUAGCCGCCUUGCUGGUGGCGCCAGAGAAGGCUUGCCACAGGGUUUGCUCGCAGCUGCUUAGCUUUAAACCUUGCAAAAACUGAAAACAUCAAAGCAGACAGAAAACAGAGAUGAAGUAUUAUAACAACUGCGCAAUAACAGUGAUGAAGAGGCAAAGGGUUUGCUAUGAAAGCUUCGGCGGUGGUUGGAUGUUGGUCUUGGUACGUCGGCCUUGACGUUGGAGGUAAUUAAUCACCCCUUCUUCUUGUUUUUUUUUUCUUCGCUUAAUUUCUUUUUAGGUUUAUCAAUCUGUUAAUUUUUUUGCGUGAAAUUGAAAGAAUUUGUUUGGUUCUCAAGAAACUAUAAGAGGAAGGAAAGGAAAGUGAAGUGAUUCGAAGUUCUGCGUGUGAUAUAUAUAUCUGCUGCUUUCAUUUUUUUUUACGACUAAUGGAUUUUAUUUUUAAAAAGAGUAGUAGUUUUUAUCAAAGUUGAAGCUUUGAAAGUGGAAAUCGAGGGCUAAUUCGCUAUUUAAAUUUCAAUGUUUUUUUUUUCUUUACUAUGUAAACAAAGAAUUGAAAUUAAAAUGGAUGUUAAAAACGGGAACCAGAGCUUGUAAACUGGUUAGCUAAUAUUUUUACUAAUGGAGAAACAAGAAGUGUAAGAUUUGCAUCUUGUUGUUACUGCUUUUCCUCUAGUUUCUCAGGGAUGAUUAACACCCAUUGAAUAUUUAUGGCACGUGAAGAACCAUGUUGUGGCUAGUCAGGGGUGUUUCUGAUAGAAUUGGCUUCAUAUUUGCCAGGGUGAUCAUUCUCGUCCGACGCGUGUUAGAGUUUGAUGUCCGGUGCAAGAAAGGUUGCUAGGGUUGGCCAGGAGAUAUGAUCUCUAGAGCUUUAGUGUGAUCUCCAAGUAAAUAAACACACAAAUAAUUCUAGAAAAAAAAAAAAGGGGUGCUGGACCCGAGCAUAUAAAUUAGUAAUUAAUUUAUUAAAAUGAGUUUAGAAUUACUAAUUAAUUCUUCUCAAUAAGUUUAUGUUGAUAUUAUUUUAUUAAAAAAAAUUCAAAAUACAAGAAAUAAAACAAAUUAGUUAAAAAACCAAAACUGAAAAAAAAAAAAAAACGAAGGACAGAAAAAUAUUUAAGUUGCUUGGAACCAAGCAAUUUGGGAAGAAAAAGAAAAAUAUGGUGUGCUGGACCCGAGCAUAUAAAUCCUGAGCCCAGCUUAUCGGGCUUAGUUAAAAUCCAAGAAGGUGGGCCAAGUCCCUUGAAUUUGGACAAGUAGCCUCCUUUCGAGCUCGUCAGACAAAGACCCUUGGCUAGAAGCCGUGAUGGUCUCUUAUCACUUUCGUUAUCAAGCUUAUGACCAUGGGUCCCAUAGCUCUCAAGCCCUUCAAAGUUCAAACAUGAACCCCCUAAGUUAGGGUUUGUAGUUCUAGGCUCGCCACUACAGUUAUGUUGGAAUUUAGAGGGAGAACACCUAUCAUUUUUGUUUAAAAUAUUUUUUAUUUAAAAAUAUAUUAAAAAUAUAUUUUUUAAUAUUUUAAAAAUUAAUUUUAAUAUUAUUAUAUCAAAAUAAUUUAAAAACAUCAAAAAAAUAUUAAUUUAAAGUAAAAAAAAAUAAUUUUUUUCAAAAACACUUUCAAAAUACAAAAACAAAAAAUGACAAUUCAAUUUUGUACAACAUAAAACUCAUUAGAUCAACUAUAUGAGUUUUGAAUCGGGAAAAAAAAUAUAUCCACAUCCAAAUAUCACAACAAAAUUAAUUAUACAUAAAGACUAGCUCGAGUUUAUGUUUUUCCCGGUGGAAAUUGGAUGGUAGGCUCCGGGAAAUCAUUUCCAGCUUGAAUCCUCGCACCUAUUCUACAGAAGCAUCAGUUAGCCACAUGAUAAUUGCUACCGCAAGUUUGAAUUUAAAUGAAACAAAUAAAAAAAUAAAGAAUUAAGUACUGGAUAGGCUCCCAUAGGCCUUCUAUGCACCUUCUCUUUAAAUAGUGUUUUUCAGUAUUUGUUAAACAUUUCUUGAUAUUAAAAAUAAUAUUUAAAAAAUAAAUAAAUAUAAUAUUUUAAUAUAAUUUUAAAUAAACAACACUUUAAAGCAUAAUAUUUACCCUCCUUUCGCCGGAUGAGCAUUGAUCCACGCACUCAUUCAAAUCAUUGAAAAUCUUAAAAUCCACCAGUCGAAGGCUCAAUUUUGAUGGCCAACUCUAAAUUAUUUAUAAUUGGAGGUUAGUUGAAUUCUAAGCUGGUAGUUACAUAGAAUACUAAAUUAUACAUAUAAUACACGAUCUGGACAUGAAAGCACAUUGUUUUAAAUCUUGUAUAAAAGAAUGUGUGGCCUGCUCCGCUACGUUGCUGACAGCAGCAAGCAAAAAGCUCCGGUGGUUAAAGGGGUUGAUCCGAAAGGAAGCAUGGAUUAGACUAGCUUAAAAAAGAGAAAGUAUAUCAUAGAUGCCCAAUUCCUUUUCCUUCUUUUCUUACAAGAUAGAUGAUUCAGAGAUACCUUGCCAUGAUUUCUGGGAAAACCAGAGAGGUGGUUUCCCUUGACUGUAUUCUGGAUAUAGAGCGGGAAAACGAAACUAGUGUGCUUUAUACAAGAAGGAAAAACAUAGAAUAUAUGAGCAUAAUGUAGUGCAUAAUUAUGUACACAGAGCACAUUAUGAUCAAACUAUAUACAACAUAUAUAUCGGCAAACCAGAGGACUUCACAUGCUGGUAGCAGAACAGCUAUAAAUACUGCCUCGGCCUGUCUAUCCACCGUGAGAAGCGGCAGCCGGCAGGUCCAUCUUCUUGUACUUAAUUCACAUUCCUGAGCAUCGCAUCUAGCCAGACUGAGCUAGUUGGAUUCAUAUUGUAGCAAACAUCCCUCUACACUCUACAGAAAAGAAAAGUCUUCGUGAUUAU
Molecule: long non-coding RNA, 2999 nt
Filed under: Populus tremula
Lineage: Eukaryota; Viridiplantae; Streptophyta; Magnoliopsida; Malpighiales; Salicaceae
Description: long non-coding RNA (PTRE_LNC002303)
Source: RNAcentral